This 852-nucleotide ribosomal RNA is filed under the name fungal sp. mh1167.3. RNAcentral describes it as "eukaryotic LSU rRNA". It matches the Rfam family "Eukaryotic large subunit ribosomal RNA", at positions 23 to 909 of the family's 3401-position model. Lineage: Eukaryota; Fungi. The record is from RNAcentral.
ACCCGCUGAACUUAAGCAUAUCAAUAAGCGGAGGAAAAGAAACCAACAGGGAUUGCCCCAGUAACGGCGAGUGAAGCGGCAACAGCUCAAAUUUGAAAUCUGGCUUCGGCCCGAGUUGUAAUUUGUAGAGGAUGCUUUUGGUGAGGUGCCUUCUGAGUUCCCUGGAACGGGACGCCAGAGAGGGUGAGAGCCCCGUAUAGUCGGCCACCGAUCCUCUGUAAAGCUCCUUCGACGAGUCGAGUAGUUUGGGAAUGCUGCUCAAAAUGGGAGGUAUAUCUCUUCUAAAGCUAAAUAUUGGCCAGAGACCGAUAGCGCACAAGUAGAGUGAUCGAAAGAUGAAAAGCACUUUGAAAAGAGGGUUAAAUAGCACGUGAAAUUGUUGAAAGGGAAGCGCUUGUGACCAGACUUGUGCCGGGCUGAUCAUCCAGUGUUCUCACUGGUGCACUCGACCCGGCUCAGGCCAGCGUCGGUUCUCGCGGGGGGAUAAAAGCUUCGGGAACGUGGCACCUCCGGGUGUGUUAUAGCCCGCUGCUUAAUACCUUCGCGGGGACCGAGGUUCGCGCUCUGCAAGGACGCUGGCAUAAUGGUCAUCAGCGACCCGUCUUGAAACACGGACCAAGGAGUCGAGGUUUUGCGCGAGUGUUUGGGUGUAAAACCCGCACGCGUAAUGAAAGUGAACGUAGGUGAGAGCUUCGGCGCAUCAUCGACCGAUCCUGAUGUAUUCGGAUGGAUUUGAGUAAGAGCGUAUAGCCUCGGACCCGAAAGAUGGUGAACUAUGCCUGAAUAGGGUGAAGCCAGAGGAAACUCUGGUGGAGGCUCGCAGCGGUUCUGACGUGCAAAUCGAUCGUCAAA